Molecule: unclassified non-coding RNA, 289 nt
Filed under: Hevea brasiliensis (rubber tree)
Lineage: Eukaryota; Viridiplantae; Streptophyta; Magnoliopsida; Malpighiales; Euphorbiaceae
Source: RNAcentral
AAGAAAUUCGGGAUGAUUCAUGGCUUGUCAUCUCUUGCUAAUAUCCUAGCAUUUGGUAGUCUUGCAAUGCACUCCUGGUAUUUGGCAGGUAAAAUUAAUCUGUAACUCAAAAAUUGUCCUUCCCUAUGACUGUAGUUUUACGUCCAUGAAGCAAUUGCCUCGGUGCUCUUUCUCUGAUAGACUGACAUAUUAUUGUUGUAGUACAAUACAAUUGCCUGUUUGGAUGGUGAUAAAGAAAAAGUGGGAAAUAAAAGUGUUGUAUUGAUAUCACUGUUUAUGUUUAGUGUCA